This 1110-nucleotide ribosomal RNA is filed under the name Vibrio sp. 792M. RNAcentral describes it as "bacterial SSU rRNA". It matches the Rfam family "Bacterial small subunit ribosomal RNA", at positions 378 to 1484 of the family's 1533-position model. Lineage: Bacteria; Pseudomonadati; Pseudomonadota; Gammaproteobacteria; Vibrionales; Vibrionaceae. The record is from RNAcentral.
GCAGCCUGAUGCGCCAUGCCGCGUGUAUGAAGAAGGCCUUCGGGUUGUAAAGUACUUUCAGCAGUGAGGAAGGGGGUGUCGUUAAUAGCGGCAUCUCUUGACGUUAGCUGCAGAAGAAGCACCGGCUAACUCCGUGCCAGCAGCCGCGGUAAUACGGAGGGUGCGAGCGUUAAUCGGAAUUACUGGGCGUAAAGCGCAUGCAGGUGGUUUGUUAAGUCAGAUGUGAAAGCCCGGGGCUCAACCUCGGAACUGCAUUUGAAACUGGCAAACUAGAGUACUGUAGAGGGGGGUAGAAUUUCAGGUGUAGCGGUGAAAUGCGUAGAGAUCUGAAGGAAUACCAGUGGCGAAGGCGGCCCCCUGGACAGAUACUGACACUCAGAUGCGAAAGCGUGGGGAGCAAACAGGAUUAGAUACCCUGGUAGUCCACGCCGUAAACGAUGUCUACUUGGAGGUUGUGGCCUUGAGCCGUGGCUUUCGGAGCUAACGCGUUAAGUAGACCGCCUGGGGAGUACGGUCGCAAGAUUAAAACUCAAAUGAAUUGACGGGGGCCCGCACAAGCGGUGGAGCAUGUGGUUUAAUUCGAUGCAACGCGAAGAACCUUACCUACUCUUGACAUCCAGAGAACUUACCAGAGAUGCAUUGGUGCCUUCGGGAACUCUGAGACAGGUGCUGCAUGGCUGUCGUCAGCUCGUGUUGUGAAAUGUUGGGUUAAGUCCCGCAACGAGCGCAACCCUUAUCCUUGUUUGCCAGCGAGUAAUGUCGGGAACUCCAGGGAGACUGCCGGUGAUAAACCGGAGGAAGGUGGGGACGACGUCAAGUCAUCAUGGCCCUUACGAGUAGGGCUACACACGUGCUACAAUGGCGCAUACAGAGGGCAGCCAACUCGCGAGAGUGAGCGAAUCCCAAAAAGUGCGUCGUAGUCCGGAUUGGAGUCUGCAACUCGACUCCAUGAAGUCGGAAUCGCUAGUAAUCGUAGAUCAGAAUGCUACGGUGAAUACGUUCCCGGGCCUUGUACACACCGCCCGUCACACCAUGGGAGUGGGCUGCAAAAGAAGUGGGUAGUUUAACCUUCGGGAGGACGCUCACCACUUUGUGGUCAUGAUGGGUGAC